AGCGGCGGAGUAGAGCGGAGCCUGGCGGGCGUGGGAACCCAGGCCCCGCCGAGGCGGCCAGGAGGUGAGAUGGCAGCUGGGCAAAAUGGGCACGAAGAGUGGGUGGGCAGCGCAUACCUGUUUGUGGAGUCCUCGCUGGACAAGGUGGUCCUGUCGGAUGCCUACGCGCACCCCCAGCAGAAGGUGGCAGUGUACAGGGCUCUGCAGGCUGCCUUGGCAGCACUCCUUGCUCAAGACCCCUCCCCAGUACCUACCCUUCCAGGCCCCCCUUUCCCAUCUCAGGGCAGAGGCCACAGGGGGCUGAAGCGGGUUGGGGGAUCUGUUCGUGGCCUCAGAGCGGCGAGAGCCCCUCUUCUUCCCGAGCAGUGGGAGUCGCGCUUGGUGGAGGCCGAAGACCUGAGACCUCUCGCCCUCCUCUGCCCUGCUGGCCGCCUACCCAGACGGCUUGUUUGCCCAGGGCACACGCCCGCUUUUCUGUGCUUCGAAGUCCCUCUCUUUUGCCAACCCUCAUUUGGGGCGUGAGAGCGGGGGCUAGGUGGCACCCACUCUGUCUUAGGGUGCUCCCUGUGACAGAUCCUGGUCUUCUUUCUGGGUUAUUGCUGUUUGUAUCCCAAUUUUGCUUCCCAGCUGGGUACUCUGGGGUAACUGCACCCUAGGUCAGGGGAUGGG
Molecule: small RNA, 669 nt
Filed under: Pan troglodytes (chimpanzee)
Lineage: Eukaryota; Metazoa; Chordata; Mammalia; Primates; Hominidae
Description: processed transcript
Source: RNAcentral